Molecule: small nucleolar RNA, 72 nt
Filed under: Necator americanus (New World hookworm)
Lineage: Eukaryota; Metazoa; Nematoda; Chromadorea; Rhabditida; Ancylostomatidae
Description: Small nucleolar RNA sn2841
Rfam family: Small nucleolar RNA sn2841
Source: Rfam by way of RNAcentral
AAGCUAUGACGAUUAGAUCCUUACCUACUAAGACUAUUCCAUGGUUCUACGUUACUCGUACUGUCUGAGCUC